CGCACCUUGCACCCUUUGGUAUUCCGAGGGGUACGCCCGUUUGAGUGUCAUUGUAAUCUCACUCCUACCACCUUUGUUGGCUGGUUGGAGGUGGAUCUGGGCCCUGCCGCGUCACUGCGGCUGGUCUGAAAUGCAUGAGUGUACCCUGCCGACGCAGCGUCUUCAGUGUGAUAAACAUCCUCACUGAGUCAAGUUCCCCUCGUAGGACACGUGUGCUCGAUGGGCUCUGCGCUUCGAACCGUCUGUGAAGACAAUCUUGACAACUUGACCUCAAAUCGGGUGGGACUACCCGCUGAACUUAA
Molecule: unclassified non-coding RNA, 302 nt
Filed under: Sebacinaceae sp.
Lineage: Eukaryota; Fungi; Basidiomycota; Agaricomycetes; Sebacinales; Sebacinaceae
Description: partial contains 5.8S ribosomal RNA, internal transcribed spacer 2, and large subunit ribosomal RNA
Source: RNAcentral